CCUACGGGGGGCAGCAGUGGGGAAUAUUGCGCAAUGGGCGAAAGCCUGACGCAGCGACGCCGCGUGGGGGAUGACGGCCUUCGGGUUGUAAACCUCUUUCAGCAGGGACGAAGCGGAAGUGACGGUACCUGCAGAAGAAGCACCGGCCAACUACGUGCCAGCAGCCGCGGUAAUACGUAGGGUGCAAGCGUUGUCCGGAAUUAUUGGGCGUAAAGAGCUCGUAGGCGGUCUGUCGCGUCGGCUGUGAAAACCCGAGGCUCAACCUCGGGCCUGCAGUCGAUACGGGCAAACUGGAGUGUUGCAGGGGAGACUGGAAUUCCUGGUGUAGCGGUGAAAUGCGCAGAUAUCAGGAGGAACACCGGUGGCGAAGGCGGGUCUCUGGGCAACAACUGACGCUGAGGAGCGAAAGCGUGGGGAGCGAACAGGAUUAGAUACCCCA
RNAcentral lists this ribosomal RNA (439 nucleotides) under uncultured Blastococcus sp. RNAcentral describes it as "bacterial SSU rRNA". It matches the Rfam family "Bacterial small subunit ribosomal RNA", at positions 338 to 789 of the family's 1533-position model. The record is from RNAcentral. Lineage: Bacteria; Bacillati; Actinomycetota; Actinomycetes; Geodermatophilales; Geodermatophilaceae.